AGAUGUGAAGUGAUAUCUCAGCGGUUUUGAUCUGCGUUUCCCUAAUGGUGGUGGUAGUGGUGCAGUUAAGAAACAAGAAACAGCGCAUCAUCCAAUUAGGCGGAAGCACAGGAUGGAUAUGGGAAAGCAGUAACAUCAGACAAGAAGAUCAGAUGGGAAUAAAAUUGUGGAGAGCUUUGGAUGCAGUGGAGAGCCACAGAAAAUUAUGGGAUAAGGGAGGGACAUAGGAUGAGAGCUGUAAUUAAGGAAGAGUAAUCUAUUGGUAGUGUGGAUCUUUGUGAAAUAUAUUUGAACACGCUUUGUAGGGCAACAAUAUCCAAAUAAAGAAAUCAUAUGAUUAAGAAAAACAAACAGUAAAUUCAUUUUCUGGACUUGAAGUUCCAUAUAUGUGAACAAAGUACAAUGUACGAUUGUUUUACUCAUGUGAAAUUAGGAAGGCUAAAACGAUGGAAGAUCAUUUUCUGUAAAACCAUGGUGAUUUGAAAAACUUUAAGCUAGUGGGUUUGAUCAAAUUACAUGGAAUUCUUUCAAAACCAGCCUAUUCAAUUUUACUUCUCAGUUUUCCUUCCCUACCACCAUCAUCUGGGGAAUAAGAGGGACUUGUCUUUAGUAGGCUUGAAUCCUGUAUACCACCUAUGUAAUGAAUUUUUAGCAUAUUAAGGGAGUUGAUUUUUGAAUACAAAAUUCCAUUCCUAUUAUGUGAAUGUUUUCAAGGUGUAGCUUCAAAAAUAUACAAUAUGGUUUGAAUUCUGGGGAAGGAGUGUUCAACUUUGGGGUGGCUUUAGGGGAUAACAGAUAAGUCAGAAUUUUGAAGGAACUAAAACAAAGGGAAC
This 833-nucleotide long non-coding RNA is filed under the name Homo sapiens (human). RNAcentral's name for it is "HSALNT0129681". Lineage: Eukaryota; Metazoa; Chordata; Mammalia; Primates; Hominidae. The record is from RNAcentral.